AGUGGGGAUGACGUCAAAUCAUCAUGCCCCUUAUGACCUGGGCUACACACGUGCUACAAUGGGCGGUACAAAGGGUCGCGAACCCGCGAGGGGGAGCCAAUCCCAAAAAGCCGCUCUCAGUUCGGAUUGCAGGCUGCAACUCGCCUGCAUGAAGCCGGAAUCGCUAGUAAUCGCGGAUCAGCAUGCCGCGGUGAAUACGUUCCCGGGCCUU
RNAcentral lists this ribosomal RNA (211 nucleotides) under uncultured Anoxybacillus sp. RNAcentral describes it as "partial 16S ribosomal RNA". It matches the Rfam family "Bacterial small subunit ribosomal RNA", at positions 1172 to 1382 of the family's 1533-position model. Lineage: Bacteria; Bacillati; Bacillota; Bacilli; Caryophanales; Anoxybacillaceae. The record is from RNAcentral.